Molecule: RNA transcript, 4575 nt
Organism: Mus musculus (house mouse)
Lineage: Eukaryota; Metazoa; Chordata; Mammalia; Rodentia; Muridae
Gene: Ndc1
Gene name: NDC1 transmembrane nucleoporin
Exons: 18
Source: RefSeq, marked validated
ACUCUGUCCCCGGCACGCUUGAGAGCGGGGGCCGCCAUCUCCAUGGCCACGGCUGCGAGCGGGCCCUGCGCCGGCGGGUCGCCGCGGGACAUCCUUUGGCGCGUGAGUUAGCGAGCCGUGGCGCUCCCUGCCUCUCUGGCGGUGCCUGCGCGCUUGGCUAAAGGGGCCUGUCUUGGAGGCGCUUUAGGAAUAGCGUGUAGGGAUCUGACCGCCUCGGGGAUUGGGUGCAAGGGUGUGUGGGCGUCCCCGAGUGGAAGUUAGGUCUGGGGUGUUGAGCUGGAGUCCGAAGUGGAAGUUUGUCAGCGUGGUUGGGAUGGCCCGAAUGGAAAUUUGGUGGAAAAGUUGUAGAGCAAAAGGUUUUGGGUUGGAGGAUAGUUACCAGCAUCGUUUGGUCAGUAGUGCUUCUACCCGUCUGCAUCACAGCCUUUAUAGUCUUAAGCAGCAUCAAUUUAUUCCACCCUAUACAGUGGCUGUCAGAUUCUUGCAAUGACUUCUAUAGUUCCCAAGUCAUCUUUCACCUCCUGCUGCUGGCCGUGGUCAUUAUAAUAAUAAGUAUUUUCAAUGUGGAAUUCUAUACAGUUGUGCCCUCCAUAUCCGGCUCCAGACUGGCCCUGAUAGCGCGGAUCCUGCAUCCCCAGCAGCUCACGCACUCCUUCAUCCACGCCGCGAUGGGAAUGGCUGUGGCUUGGUGUGCGGCCAUCAUGACCAAGGGCCAGUACAGCUCUCUCGUGGUUCCCUGCACUGGAACUGAGAGCUUAGAUAGCCCUGCUGCUCAGACCUGCUUGAAUGAAUAUCAUCUGUUUUUCCUACUGUCCGGAGCAUUCAUGGGCUAUAGCUAUAGUCUUCUGUAUUUCAUUAACAACAUGAAUUAUCUCCCGUUUCCUAUUAUACAGCAGUACAAAUUUUUGCGUUUCCGGAGAUCUCUCCUCUUACUAGUUAAACAUAGCUGUGUGGAAUCCCUGUUCAUGGUCAGAAAUUUCUGCAUUGUGUAUUAUUUUUUUGGCCAUAUUCCCAAAGCAUGGAUUAGCACUGCUCUGGACCUUCACACAGAUGAGCAGGCUCACAGGCCUCUUGACACGAUAGGCGGUCUCCUGAACGUCUCAUUACUCUACCACGUCUGGCUGUGUGGCGUCUUCCUCUUGGUGACUUGGUAUAGCUCAUGGAUACUCUUCAAAAUCUAUGCCACCGAGGCGCAUGUGUUCCCUGUUCAGCCGCCUUUUGCAGAAGCCUCAGAUGAAUGCCUUCCUAAAGUCUUAAACAGCAACCCCCCACGCAUCGUAAAGUAUUUGGCCUUACAGGACCUGAUGCUGCUUUCUCAAUAUUCUCCUUCUCGGAGGCAAGAAGUUUUCAGUCUCAGCCAACCAGGUGGACAUCCCCACAAUUGGACUGCUAUUUCGAGGGAGUGUUUGAAUCUUUUAAAUGAUAUGACUCAGAAACUGGUUCUCUACCAAGAAGCUGCUGCUACAAAUGGGAGGAUGUAUUCAUCAUACUCAGUGGAACCCAAGAAACUGAGCUCUGCAGAAGAAACUGCUUUUCAGACUCCAAAACCUAGUCAGACGCCUUCCGUGCCGCCGUUAGUUAAAACUUCACUGUUUUCUCCAAAAUUAUCUACACCCAAUGUUUCAAGUCCUUUUGGGACCCCGUUUGGCUCCAGCGUAGUGAACCGAAUGGCUGGAAUUCUUGAUGUAAACCCCUUCUCUGGGUCUCCCCAAAGUCCUCAGCUCAUAAGAAGAGGACCGAGGCUGUGGACUCACACUUCUGAUCAACAAGUGUCUGCAAUUUCUAACCCAUCUCCUUGCGCCUCUGUUACUGCUGAGGGUAAGACAGUGAGACAGCCCAGUGUGAUCUACUCGUGGAUUCAGAAUAAACGAGAACAGAUUAAGAAUUUCUUGUCAAAACGGGUGCUGAUAAUGUACUUUUUCAGUAAGCACCCAGAGGCCUCCAUUCAGGCUGUUUUUUCAGAUGCCCAAAUGCAUAUUUGGGCUUUAGAAGGUCUGUCUCACUUAGUAGCAGCGUCAUUUACAGAAGAUAGAUUUGGAGUUGUCCAGACCACACUCCCAGCUAUCCUUCAUACGCUGUUGACUCUGCAGGAGGCUGUCGACAAGUACUUCAAGCUGCCUCAUGCUUCUAGUAAACCACCCCGAGCUUCAGGAAGCCUUGUGGACACGUCCUACAAAACAUUGAGAUUUGCUUUCAGGGCCUCCCUGAAAACCGCUAUCUACCGUAUAACCACCACGUUUGGUGAACAUCUGAACGCUGUGCAGGCAUCUGCAGAACAUCAGAAAAGACUUCAGCAAUUCUUGGAGUUCAAAGAAUAGUGAAGUAAUAUAAACUGUGUUCAUUACCCUGCUGAUACAACUACAGAUGGGACAGUAAAUGUUGAGCAUUCUUGGAUCAGAAGAGAGCGGACUAAUUAGACGCUUCCUUUGUCGUGGUGCUUGCUUUGAAAACUAUACUUUAAUGGGAGAAAUCAUGGAAAGAAAUUCUCAGCAGAAUAACCGAAAACUGCCUUUUCUGUACCCAGUGCUUUUUGUGUGUGUGGUAUAAUAAAAUCUUUAUUCAGUUUUACAGGAGCGUCUAUGGCAGCCGAACUGUCUCUUGCUCAUAUAACUUGAUAAUGAUUAUUCACAAUUGUUUGUAGAAUUUACUUUUGAAAAGAGUGGAGCCAGCUCAGAAGUUAAAGCAGGUGGUCUUUCCCAGCUGCUCUAAGAGGUUAGCUCUUUGUAAACUCUCAAAAUACAUAAACUUAAGAUUAGUUUGUUUACUAAAGGAUAAAAAUGGUAACGGUGGAGAAAAACUCACAGUAAAAAUGUUGUCUACAGGACAUAUUUUGUUAAUCUGUUAGGUUGUGUUUUUGUUUCCAGGGACAAAUUAAAUUUGCAUGAUUGUCCAAAAAGAGUCUCGAUUUACAGAUGUUAACUCUAUAUAAAGGAAUGUAGAAAAAUUGAAAUCUUAAGGUACACGACUAAGCAUUCACAUUCGGGUAGAGCAACGUCUCUGAGUUCACUGUGUGAUGCUAGUGGAGGAUGAGGGCAUCUUGUUUCCUAGCCAGGCUUGCUUGCUUUUUUGAAAUAACAUUAAACAGUUGGCAGAGGUUUUCAAAUGAGGGGAAAAGGAGACCUGGAAACUUCCCUUUCCCUACGGUUUGUCUUUACCAGGUCAAAUUAUGUUGUGAGUCUAGUCUGUCUUCACAUGGGAGCAGCCUCUGCUGUGCUAACUGGCUAAUAAAAACACAGUAGGCCAAGCUUUAGAGCCAAAAGCACAUAGUCAUCAGAUAGGCAGGUGAAUGUCAGAGGCUCUCCGCAGGAGCGGGUACGCCCCGGAUGUACUGUACAGGCGGUCAUUUUAUGACUUAUGAGAUCAUUUCUUUGGAGAUGAAACAUGGGAGGUCCUGCUGGCAGAUAUUCAUUGGACCAGCUUUGGGCCAAAUCCUCCUUUAUAAAUCCUUUUCUGUUAUCUUUUUCUUUAAAGUCAGCACAGUAUUGUAUAUGAGUCUUAAAUGUGAUGUGUAUGCCUAGCCUUUGUCGGCUUCAUUAAUGUAUUACAUCUUUACAGUAGUGUAUUUUAGCCCCAGAUCUACUGCCCAUUCAACCAGCACAUGGCAAAUUAUAAACGAAUCCCGCUAGCCUUAAAAAUGUCUCUAUGGGACAAUUCCUCACCUUAAUUGUUAAGUUUUGGGUCUUUUAAGUCCCCUCUCUACCUUGUGUGUGAAGUUCUCUUGAUGUGUUGUGAAAGUUGGGUUUCCAGUGUGUUGGUUUCUUCAGAUACUCAGAGGAGCCUGGCUAGAUAACAGAAUUAAAGCCAUAGGCCUUUUGUGUUUGCUGGCUGCCUCUGACUGAAGCAUUUCGGGAGACAAAUCUAAAUGUUGUGUUUCCAUAAAGAACUGUGGCAUGUGUGUAGCUCACUAAAGAGAGCAUUCAUUUUAACUUGGACUUACUCCUGUGAAAUGUCUGGUCCAGUUUAGGUUCUUGCCUUUCCCACUUCCUCUGGGUGAAAGUAUAUUUGAUAGAAAUAUGAAUCUUUCUGGAUGUUCUGUGUCUGAGGUAUUGACCACACCAUGUCUGCCUGCUGGGGAGCAGGACACUGCCAUCCCCUCAGACCUGUACAGUCCCUGGAAGGUGAGGGGUCAUUCUUUUUCUCCAUUGUAUAUUGGUGGGCACUCUUUUUUUUUAAAGGCACCUUUCCUCCCGCAUGCAACGAGGACUUGAGGGAGGCCAGCAGGAGAGAAGCGUUGGCUUUGGUGAAGUUGCAGCCUGCUGACGUGAUGGCCUGAAGUUAGCCUUCACAAGCCUUUGUCCCUGUUAGUAACACCAUGCUCCGAGCCCCUCUGUGUGUGUCUCUAGUGGGACAUACAAAGCCACAGGCUGCUUGUGCAGAGUGACGGGACACUCACCCUUAUCCUGGUGAGUAGGCAUGGAGAAGUCCCACUCGUUCCUGUGCUUGGUUUCUUCAGCAGUGUUUUGUAUGUCUUCCUGUUAGUAUUUAUGGCAGUCUGCUUAUAUCCUUCUGUAUAUCAUCAGUACUGAAUUGGUAGAAAAAUAAAGUGACAAUUCCUAACUGAGACUGUUCAUCAAA